UGCAGGAAGAAGGUGUCCGCCUGGUCGGGAUGCGUCAGGAAGCAGCUGAAGUCGCACCACCAGCAGCUGUUUCCCCUGUGCUGACGUACAGGUUCCAGGGGUAAAGAUUUGGUCGGGUGAGCUUACACAAGUUCCACUUCCAUAAGCCACAAAACCCACCAUCCACACGCUGCCUGGACACAGUGAAAGACUGUUACCUGUCCCUCUAUCCACACCUGCCCCUGAUCACCUGUGUGCUCCCUUUGUACUUCCCCUUACUGCUCCCCCUGGUGGUUAACUAACGAAAUGAUAAAUGGCUCCUGCACACGUGUUCAUGGCAGCCACCGACACCAUGGCUGUCCCCCUGCUGGACCGGGACCGCAUGGAGGGGAUCUGGAGGACUCAGAGGAAGCACGUCGCCUGCAUCCAGGAUCCUGCCGGCGUCCGGUUGUACAAACGCACUGGACAGCUGACGUGCAACCAGGUCGUUCUGCCGGUGUAUCGCUGUGCCCGCGGGUCCACAUCGCUGGAGUCGUUCCACCUGCACCUGAACAGGUUCA
This is a long non-coding RNA of Salarias fasciatus (jewelled blenny), 539 nucleotides long. RefSeq lists it as uncharacterized. The record is from RefSeq and is a predicted model, not a curated record. The transcript is spliced from 3 exons. NCBI's taxonomy places the organism in Eukaryota, Metazoa, Chordata, Actinopteri, Blenniiformes, Blenniidae.